RNAcentral lists this ribosomal RNA (254 nucleotides) under uncultured bacterium. RNAcentral describes it as "partial 16S ribosomal RNA". It matches the Rfam family "Bacterial small subunit ribosomal RNA", at positions 524 to 776 of the family's 1533-position model. The record is from RNAcentral.
UACGUAGGGUGCAAGCGUUGUCCGGAAUUAUUGGGCGUAAAGAGCUCGUAGGCGGUGUGUCGCGUCGGCCGUGAAAACCUGCAGCUUAACUGUGGGCUUGCGGUCGAUACGGGCAUCACUGGAGUUCGGCAGGGGAGACUGGAAUUCCUGGUGUAGCGGUGAAAUGCGUAGAUAUCAGGAGGAACACCGGUGGUGUAGACGGCUCUCUGGACCGUAACUGACGCUGAGGCACGAAAGCGUGGGUAGCAAACAGG